CACGCCGUAAACGAUGAGUACUAGGUGUAGGGGGUAUCGACUCCCCCUGUGCCGCAGUUAACACAAUAAGUACUCCGCCUGGGAAGUACGAUCGCAAGAUUAAAACUCAAAGGAAUUGACGGGGGCCCGCACAAGCAGCGGAGCAUGUGGUUUAAUUCGAAGCAACGCGAAGAACCUUACCUAGACUUGACAUCCCCUGAAUUACUCGUAACGGAGGAAGCCCUUCGGGGCAGGGAGACAGGUGG
RNAcentral lists this ribosomal RNA (245 nucleotides) under uncultured Clostridium sp. RNAcentral's name for it is "partial 16S ribosomal RNA". It matches the Rfam family "Bacterial small subunit ribosomal RNA", at positions 796 to 1041 of the family's 1533-position model. Lineage: Bacteria; Bacillati; Bacillota; Clostridia; Eubacteriales; Clostridiaceae. The record is from RNAcentral.